GUAGGGAAUAUUGCGCAAUGGGGGAAACCCUGACGCAGCGACGCCGCGUGAGUGAUGAAGGCCUUCGGGUCGUAAAGCUCUGUUGCAGGGGAAUAAAAAAAUGAAGGUACCCUGUGAGGAAGGAUCGGCUAACUUCGUGCCAGCAGCCGCGGUAAGACGAGGGAUCCUAGCGUUGCUCGGAAUCAUUGGGCGUAAAGAGGGCGUAGGUGGCUUGGUAAGUCAGGUGUGAAAGCCCAGGGCUCAACCCUGGAAGUGCAUUUGAUACUGCUGAGCUUGAGUGUCGGAGAGGUUACCGGAAUACCUGGUGUAGUGGUAAAAUACGUAGAUAUCAGGUGGAACACCGGAGGCGAAGGCGGGUAACUGGACGAACACUGACACUGAGGCCCGAAAGCGUGGGGAUCAAACAGGAUUAGAAACCCCAGUAGUCC
RNAcentral lists this ribosomal RNA (428 nucleotides) under uncultured bacterium. RNAcentral describes it as "partial 16S ribosomal RNA". It matches the Rfam family "Bacterial small subunit ribosomal RNA", at positions 354 to 796 of the family's 1533-position model. The record is from RNAcentral.